GAGUAACAUGUGGGAAUCUGCCUUGUGGUUCAGGACAACAUUGGGAAACCGAUGCUAAUACUGGAUAAGCCCUUACGGGGAAAGUUUUAAUGCCAUAAGAUGAGCCCGCAUUUGAUUAGUUAGUUGGUGAGGUAAUGGCUCACCAAGACAAUGAUCAAUAGCUGAUCUGAGAGGAUGAUCAGCCACACUGGGACUGAGACACGGCCCAGACUCCUACGGGAGGCAGCAGUGGGGAAUCUUGCACAAUGGAGGAAACUCUGAUGCAGCGAUGCCGCGUGAGUGAAGAAGGCCUUUGGGUUGUAAAGCUCUUUUGUAGGGGAAGAUAAUGACUGUACCCUAAGAAUAAGGUCCGGCUAACUUCGUGCCAGCAGCCGCGGUAAUACGAAGGGACCUAGCGUAGUUCGGAAUUACUGGGCGUAAAGCGCGCGUAGGCCGUUGAGUUAGUUAAUUGUGAAAUCCCAAAGCUUAACUUUGGAACUGCAAUUAAAACUGCUCGACUAGAGUUUGAUAGAGGAAAGCGGAAUACAUAGUGUAGAGGUGAAAUUCGUAGAUAUUAUGUAGAACACCAGUUGCGAAGGCGGCUUUCUGGAUCAACACUGACGCUGAGGCGCGAAAGUAUGGGUAGCAAAGAGGAUUAGAUACCCUCGUAGUCCAUACCAUAAACGAUGAUUGCUAGAUGUUGGAAAUUUAUUUUCAGUAUCGCAGCUAACGCAUUAAGCAAUCCGCCUGGGGAGUACGACCGCAAGGUUAAAACUCAAAUGAAUUGACGG
This 770-nucleotide ribosomal RNA is filed under the name uncultured Alphaproteobacteria bacterium. Its description in RNAcentral is "bacterial SSU rRNA". It matches the Rfam family "Bacterial small subunit ribosomal RNA", at positions 108 to 916 of the family's 1533-position model. Lineage: Bacteria; Pseudomonadati; Pseudomonadota; Alphaproteobacteria. The record is from RNAcentral.